Molecule: ribosomal RNA, 384 nt
Filed under: Stiphrosoma setipleurum
Lineage: Eukaryota; Metazoa; Arthropoda; Insecta; Diptera; Anthomyzidae
Description: partial 16S ribosomal RNA
Source: RNAcentral
UCGAAGGAAGCUAAUCAGUAGUUUUUUAAUUGAAAGCUGGUAUGAAUGGUUGGAUGAAAUAUUAGCUGUUUCAUUUAAAAUUAUUAUAGAACUUUAUUUUUUAGUUAAAAAGCUAAAAUUUUAUUAAAAGACGAGAAGACCCUAUAAAUCUUUAUAUAUUAUUUAAAUAUUAAUUAUAAAGAUUUUUUUGAUUAUUAUAUUUUGAUAUAUUUUAUUGGGGUGAUAUUAAAAUUUAAAAAACUUUUAAUUUAUAUAAUACAUAAAUUAAUGAAUAUAUGAUCCAUUAUUAAUGAUUAAAAAUUUAAGUUACUUUAGGGAUAACAGCGUAAUUUUUUUGGAGAGUUCAUAUCGAUAAAAAAGAUUGCGACCUCGAUGUUGGAUUAA